Molecule: ribosomal RNA, 253 nt
Filed under: uncultured bacterium
Lineage: Bacteria
Description: partial 16S ribosomal RNA
Rfam family: Bacterial small subunit ribosomal RNA
Source: RNAcentral
UACGGAGGGGGCUAGCGUUAUUCGGAAUUAUUGGGCGUAAAGGGCGCGUAGGCGGCCCGGUAAGUCAAAGGUGAAAUCCCUCGGCUCAACUGAGGAACUGCCUUUAAAACUGUCGGGCUUGAGGCCGGGAGGGGGUAGCGGAAUUCCCAGUGUAGCGGUGAAAUGCGUAGAUAUCUGGAGGAAUACCGGUGGCGAAGGCGGCAUCCUGGACCGACAUUGACGCUGAGGAGCGAAAGCUAGGGGAGCAAACGGG